UUGGAUCAGGCAAAGGCAACGGCGGCUUCCCCCUUCCCUUCUCCUACCUCCUGUUCUUCCUCCUACCUUCAUAUUCCUUCACUAAUUCCUUGUAUGUGAGCUUGAUUACCUUGUAAUGGAGUGAACCGCGGGUCAGAUCCUAACAUCGUGGCAUCAGAGCCUCCUUCCAUCCUUCCGAUUUGCCGCAAAUUCUACCGAGUUCGUCCGAUUUUUGCCUAUUUUUUUCCCAGUUCAUCAAUCUCUUCACCACCAUGCAUCCGGAGACAAAGGCCUACCUAGACAACAACUACGCACGGAUCAUGGCGCGCUACGAUGCCAUGGACAGGCAGCACGACGCGAUACUCUCCAAGCUCCUCGCGAGCGUAUCGACCCCGCAGCCGGCACGCCCCAUGGGCACGGCAGCUGAUGGCGGCCUUGCCGACGAUGCCUCUGUCCCUACGGUCGCCCCGCCACCUUCUCCACCACUACCCAAGUCCAGGAGGGCCCCGGGGUCACCCAUGAUGCACCCCCAAUCUGCAUGGGGAUAGCGCCCGUCACCUGUUCGGCGGAAUGCUUGACGCAGGUCGUCACCAUCGUCAGUGUCAACGAGGUCCACGACGCCGCCACAACCGUCUGCUUCGAGCCCGCAGUCAAUCUCUUCCACCAGGAGGUCGAGCAGCUCACGCAUGUGCCUUCCAUCGUCACCAACACCACCCCUUCUGCCAAGGUCGUCGCCACAGUGGCAACCAUCACCGACGUCGACCCCAAGGCCGUCGUACAGGAGUUGGAUACCUCACCCCUACCCUUCAUCAACACCUCCACCUGGGUCGUGAGUGAUGGGGAGCACGGAGUCCUUCUCGUCGUCUCCAGUAACCUCGCUGCAUCAGCGCCGACCAUGCGCUGGGUAGACUGCCCUAUCCCUGCAGGCGACUGGGUGAAGCCUGUGACUGUCGCCAUCGACGGUGCCGACGAGACACAUGACACUGCCAUCGUUGAGCGUUUGCACCCGCCUUCCUUCGAACAUCAACCACGGCCACCACCUGUACAAGUUCUGUUCAAUCACAUGGGAUCCCUAUUCAGGCCUAGCCCGUGGCCGUCGUUCCGACCUCUGUCCUUCUCAAGCUACCCGGACAUUUCAAGUAUCCAUAGUCAAUCACAUGGAGUUCUCUGCUUCAGUCCUUGGUUAAUUCGGACAGCUCAAGACCCUCCCAUGAGCUCAAUCAUCAACUCAUUGCAGUUGUCCAUGAAUCAUGAUCCGGACAACCCGAUGCCCAAAGAGUGCUCGCUCUUCUGCCUCCUUGACACACCUAUACCCUCACUGAUGUCAAAGGUGUUUCCCCAUGUCAGGCACAAGAGGCUGAUGCUACGACCGACACCGUGGCCAUCAUUUUGGAUGAAUCUUGCAGAGGGAAACGAGGACAAUAAAGGGCUUGCGGAACUCCAUGCAUGUUCCAGUACUAUUGCUCACGAGCUGCAUUGUUCAUGUAUCGCUACAGUGGUUGUGCAUAUGUUUCGGAGUGUGUAUAAACUGGGACCUCUGAGCGCCAAACUGCCAAGCAGUAUUUGUCUUCAGUUAAUGCAAAUUGAGUCGUUCAUGUCUUCUGCUCCAGCUACCCUCACAGUUCGAUGGAAACCUACCUGUAACAAGCAUCCAUUGCAUUCUACCCAGUUUCCAAAAAAGCUGCAGCUAUAUGAACUAGUCAGCCACAUGGAUAUCAGUUCUCGAUUAGUUGAUAGUGAGAGGAGUAGCAUUCCUGUAUCAACCAAGGCAUGUAACCUAUUAUUGGGCAACAUAGACUUCAAGUGUCACAUAACUCAUGGCGAAAUGGAUUCCAAAAUAUUACAACAAGCAGGUAUUCAGUGUGUGCAGCCAACAAACUCUGUUCGAGCAUAUCUGAAAUUAGAUGAAGUCUGUGUUGCUGCUGUUUGCAAAUUUGACCAGGGAACUUCUCUGGACGGGACGUUGAUACUUUGUUUCAAUGAGCGACCACUUCUUAUUUGUACAACUCGGGUGCAUUGGAAGCUUUCUGAGACGGGUGCUUGCUGGAUCCCAAUGGUGCCAAGCUAUAUUCCUGUCCUGAGUCAUCCAAUAAAACAAUUUAUGGAUGAUCUGACCAUGAGUACUACAGAGCAACGGUUAAUUAUCUGUUGGGUGCAGUUCUCUUAUGAAUUUCGUGCUCAAGACGCCCAACCGAUGUUUUGGUUCAGUAAAAGAAGUGCUCAGCUGAAGCUACCUGGAUCGUAUUUUUUAUGCACUUGUCAGGCAGUACAGUUGCUGUACCAUUGGGUUCAUGAGCACGUCACUGAAUUGGCUGGUAGUUGUUACCUUGCGAAAUUGUGGCACACUAGCGAUUCCCAUGAUUCGGUACAUCAAUGGGUAGUUCCUAUAUGUGCCAAUAUACAAGCCGGUGGCGACCUGUUCAAGUAUAAGUGGAGCGGACAAUAUGAAGGGAGACGGUUGAAGCCUAAUUUCCUACAAGCUAGUUCUAGCCCCUGUUCUGAUGCAUAUUUCUAUGGGAACCAAUACACAGUGGUCGUUGAACUGUUGGUGUAUCUUGUUGGGCAGCUAAGUGACAUGUUUCAGAAGUGGAGAAGCCAAUAUCAUAUAGGGGAGAGCAACGAAAACGCUUAUAACUAUGGUAUAUGCCUUGGCAUCUCAGUGGUAGGGAGUGGGCUCCUUCUGAUUGAGUUGGAACUACUUAUUCCAAAACCAGGAGAGCAUUUGGUCUUGUUGCAACCCAAGCCUCCAUAGUCACCUCUGGUUCCACCACAAAUUUCUACACAAUUCAGCAGCAAUAUGCGAAGAACUAAUUCAGAGUUUCUACACCUCGCCGGAGUUCUUUGGGAAAUCACUCCAUUAUGGAUCUGUGCUGAUCAUGUUAAUAUCUUGUCAAGCCAUUGGUGGUGCUUCUCUUGGGGCACUUACCCAGAUGCAAAUGUCCUUGCUGCAUGUCUGGGACGCUCAAACCCGAAGAAGUUUCAGAGCACUGCACACAACAAUGACCAACAUGCAGUACAGUCACUUCAACCGACAACUUCGUCUUAUGCUCAAUGGGAUUCAGGAGGAUUGGAUUUUGCAGAACCAGCGAAGAACGGGCACCGGCUUGGGGGCAAGCCGACUGUUAAGGAGGAGGGGAUGUCAGCGACCUAAUUACUAUCACGGCCACGUCGACCCACGGCAAGGCAGCCAGCCCACCAAGAGCGACCAACACAUGGGCCUGGGCCGUCGAGAACCAGCAAGAGCUACCAGCUAUAUAUCUACAGGGGACAGCAAUGAGCUAGCCAUCCGGGCUUGGAUCAGGCAAAGGCAACGGCGGCUUCCCCCUUCCCUUCUCCUACCUCCUGUUCUUCCUCCUACCUUCAUCUUCCUUCACUAAUUCCUUGUAUGUGAGCUUGAUUACCUUGUAAUGGAGUGAACCGCGGGUCAGAUCCUAACAUGUCUGUUUGUGAAAAGGAAAAAAAUCAAGGAAAAGAAAAUAAACGAACAGAUAAGACCUGGGGCUACGUGGCUCAAUCUGUUCCACCAAUCCUCCGCAGCAGGCGACGACAGCAUAUCGGCGGCAGCGACAGGGCACGUCCAUCUUCCCUUGGACCGGCGGCGGCGACAGGGCACGUCCAUCUUCCCUUGGACCGGCAGCGGCGCUGGAGCGCACAGCCUAUGGUUUAUCAACAUGGAAGGGGAUAACAGUGUUGUGAAAUUCACUAACCAGCCGGUAACCAUUAAGAAGAAAGAAGUAACUAAGAAG
Molecule: RNA transcript, 3725 nt
Organism: Triticum aestivum (bread wheat)
Lineage: Eukaryota; Viridiplantae; Streptophyta; Magnoliopsida; Poales; Poaceae
Exons: 2
Source: RefSeq, a predicted model, not a curated record